GAUGAAGAACGCAGCGAAAUGCGAUAAGUAAUGUGAAUUGCAGAAUUCAGUGAAUCAUCGAAUCUUUGAACGCACAUUGCGCCCGCCAGUAUUCUGGCGGGCAUGCCUGUUCGAGCGUCAUUUCAACCAUCAAGCCCCAGGCUUGUGUUGGGGACCUGCGGCUGCCGCAGGCCCUGAAAACCAGUGGCGGGCUCGCUGUCACACCGGGCGUAGUAGAUUUUAUCUCGCUCAGGGCGUGCUGCGGGUUCCGGCCGUUAAAAAGCCUUUUUUACCCAAGGUUGACCUCGGAUCAGGUAGGAAGACCCGCUGAACUUAAGCAUAUCAAUAGGCGGAGGA
RNAcentral lists this unclassified non-coding RNA (336 nucleotides) under soil metagenome. RNAcentral's name for it is "partial contains 5.8S ribosomal RNA, internal transcribed spacer 2, and large subunit ribosomal RNA". The stretch from base 1 to 120 matches the Rfam family "5.8S ribosomal RNA", at positions 35 to 154 of the family's 154-position model. The record is from RNAcentral.